This 72-nucleotide transfer RNA is filed under the name Sodiomyces alcalophilus JCM 7366. Its description in RNAcentral is "tRNA-Arg". It matches the Rfam family "tRNA". Rfam says of the family: Transfer RNA (tRNA) molecules are approximately 80 nucleotides in length. Their secondary structure includes four short double-helical elements and three loops (D, anti-codon, and T loops). Lineage: Eukaryota; Fungi; Ascomycota; Sordariomycetes; Glomerellales; Plectosphaerellaceae. The record is from RNAcentral. RNAcentral also lists the same sequence under 1 other name.
GGCCGCGUGGCUCAAUGGUAGGGCGUCAGAUUUCGGCUCUGAAGAUUGUGGGUUCGAGUCCUACCGCGGUCG